RNAcentral lists this unclassified non-coding RNA (883 nucleotides) under Hevea brasiliensis (rubber tree). The record is from RNAcentral. Lineage: Eukaryota; Viridiplantae; Streptophyta; Magnoliopsida; Malpighiales; Euphorbiaceae.
UGAACUCCAUAGACUGUAUAUUCUGCAUCAGUGCCACAUCAAUGGAAUGAACAUCCAAACAUUUGGAAAAUGGAUCUCCAAUGGUUAUUGAUAGGCCCAAGACAUUGUAUCUGGAAUUGUGGCAGAUGCAUCAGCACUUCACCUGGAUUUGUACAUGAGCCAGUAUUUCUGUUUUUCCCCCUUCCCCCUCUUCCCCCGACACUUUUAGCUAAGUGCUAAAUUGUAUAUAUGUAUUACAUAAUACUUGCAUGAUCAUCUGUUACUCUAAGGAAUCAAUCAUAUGCUUUUUGUAAAACUGUUCAGUCAUGCUACUGCUACCCGGGCUUAUCUAAGGUGGUUCAAAGAAUAGGACUUUGGUAGAGAUCAUAGGCCCAGCUCAUGUGAUCACUUGUGUAUUUAUAGACAUAUUGAAAGAAAGGGUAAAUAAGAACAACACUUAUCAGUCUUCUCUCACCAACCACUGAAGCAUAACAGGUCAUCCCUUUCUUCCCAAGAUUCUAUAAUUUGUAGCUAUCCUAGUGAUUGGAUGCAGAGGCAUGCAUACAGACAUCAGAGGAGAGAUUUUUCAAGCAGUUAAAGGAAAACUAAACAUCAGAAAUUAUUAAAUAUUAACAAACAAAUGAAUCUACUUAUAUGUCUAGGGAAGCUUCAGUUCAUAAAAAUUUCUUCUUCAGAACUCUAGCCCUAAGACUAAAUAAACAUUAAUUUUUUUUUAAUUAAUCAAUUAAUGAACAAAAAAAAAGGACAAUAAAUAACUGUUGAUGCAAAGAAGGAAUAGCAAAACACAUUUUACCUCACCCUAUUGUCACUCCUACAACACUAUCCUCAAAUAAAUUCAAGUACUGUUACUCUAGUAGCCAAACACAAGAGAGAGAGAGAGAGA